RNAcentral lists this ribosomal RNA (233 nucleotides) under Weissella paramesenteroides. RNAcentral's name for it is "partial 16S ribosomal RNA". It matches the Rfam family "Bacterial small subunit ribosomal RNA", at positions 1 to 202 of the family's 1533-position model. Lineage: Bacteria; Bacillati; Bacillota; Bacilli; Lactobacillales; Lactobacillaceae. The record is from RNAcentral.
UUAAAAUGAGAGUUUGAUCCUGGCUCAGGAUGAACGCUGGCGGCGUGCCUAAUACAUGCAAGUCGAACGCUUUGUCUUUAAUUGAUCUGACGAGCUUGCUCUGAUGUGAUUUUAUCUGACAAAGAGUGGCGAACGGGUGAGUAACACGUGGGUAACCUACCUCUUAGCAGGGGAUAACAUUUGGAAACAAGUGCUAAUACCGUAUAAUACCAACAACCGCAUGGUUGUUGGUU